Long non-coding RNA from Oncorhynchus tshawytscha (Chinook salmon), 774 nucleotides. The record is from Ensembl. NCBI's taxonomy places the organism in Eukaryota, Metazoa, Chordata, Actinopteri, Salmoniformes, Salmonidae.
GGGGUGACAACACACACCACAGUGAUAUCCCUAGCAGGGGGGUGACAACACACACCACAGUGAUAUCCCUAGCAGGGGGGGUGACAACACACACCACAGUGAUAUCCCUAGCAGGGGGUGACAACACACACCACAGUGAUAUCCCUAGCAGGGGGGUGACACACACACCACAGUGAUAUCCCUAGCAGGGGGAUAACACACACCACAGUGAUAUCCCUAGCAGGGGGAUGACACACACACCACAGUGAUAUCCCUAGCAGGGGGGUGACAACACACACCACAGUGAUAUCCCUAGCAGGGGGUGACAACACACACCACAGUGAUAUCCCUAGCAGGGGGACAACACACACCUCAGUGAUAUCCCUAGCGGGGGGUGACAACACACACCACAGUCAUAUCCCUAGCAGGGGGGGGGGAUGACAACACACACCACAGUGAUAUCCCUAGCAGGGGGUGACAACACACACCACAGUGAUAUCCCUAGCAGGGGAUGACAACACACACACACCUCAGUGAUAUCCCUAGCAGGGGGGUGACAACACACACCACAGUCAUAUCCCUAGCAGGGGUGACAACACACACCACAGGGAUAUCCCUAGCAGGGGGGUGACAAGUGACUCUCAGCUGCCUGUACAACUCUACCAGCUAUCAGCAGCUCUGUGUGUGGGUGAAACAGGAUGGUAAGUGGAUGUGUCAGACAGGAUGGUGUGGAUGUGUCAGACAGGAUGGUGUGGAUGUGUCAGACAGGAUGGUGUGGAUGUGUCAGACAGGAUG